GAUGAACGCUGGCGGCGUGCCUAAUACAUGCAAGUCGAGCGAACAGACGAGGAGCUUGCUCCUCUGACGUUAGCGGCGGACGGGUGAGUAACACGUGGAUAACCUACCUAUAAGACUGGGAUAACUUCGGGAAACCGGAGCUAAUACCGGAUAAUAUAUUGAACCGCAUGGUUCAAUAGUGAAAGACGGUUUUGCUGUCACUUAUAGAUGGAUCCGCGCCGCAUUAGCUAGUUGGUAAGGUAACGGCUUACCAAGGCAACGAUGCGUAGCCGACCUGAGAGGGUGAUCGGCCACACGGGAACUGAGACACGGUCCAGACUCCUACGGGAGGCAGCAGUAGGGAAUCUUCCGCAAUGGGCGAAAGCUUGACGGAGCAACGCCGCGUGAGUGAUGAAGGUCUUCGGAUCGUAAAACUCUGUUAUUAGGGAAGAACAAAUGUGUAAGUAACUAUGCACGUCUUGACGGUACCUAAUCAGAAAGCCACGGCUAACUACGU
Molecule: ribosomal RNA, 496 nt
Filed under: uncultured bacterium
Lineage: Bacteria
Description: partial 16S ribosomal RNA
Rfam family: Bacterial small subunit ribosomal RNA
Source: RNAcentral